Molecule: transfer RNA, 62 nt
Filed under: Aglaiogyrodactylus forficulatus
Lineage: Eukaryota; Metazoa; Platyhelminthes; Monogenea; Gyrodactylidea; Oogyrodactylidae
Description: tRNA-Gly
Source: RNAcentral
AUAUUAGUAGUAUAAUUUAUUAUACUAAUUUUCCAAAUUAGUGAUUUCUUUGAACUAAUAUA